RNAcentral lists this long non-coding RNA (1006 nucleotides) under Homo sapiens (human). Its description in RNAcentral is "non-protein coding lnc-IRS1-7:4". Lineage: Eukaryota; Metazoa; Chordata; Mammalia; Primates; Hominidae. The record is from RNAcentral.
AGUUUCCCAAAGAUCUGACUGAGCUGAAAAUGGACCAUGCUCACCAAGACCACUGGUAAAAACUUUGGGUAUAUUAACCAGAAUUAUUUUUAAAUUUCUGGCCACACUGCCAAAAUCUUGCUGAACUUUGGGUUUUCUUGACUUUGUGGAAGUGUUUCUUUCAUGGAACUGCUGGGAUCAAAACUGCAUCUGUCUUAGGGAUGCAGAUUGUGGCUGGGAAAUGAGAUGUGUCUUAACUUAAAGAAUGUCUGAGCUUCUUCAGAGUAGCUCAGUUUAAAAUGUUUUCUUAUUGACUGAUUGAGAUGUGCAAGCGGCUGCCACCUGACUUGUAAAAAUGGAUUUUCAAGUGUAUUUGUUUUUUAGAUAGCUUCAUACUGAGUGAAGGAAUACAUAGCCUGGAAUUUCCUCUAAUUAUAAGCCUAAUCCAGUUAGUGCACAAAUCUGGCAGAUAUUUUAGUGUAAUACAAAUUAAUGUUUUCGUUUGCUUCACCUGAUUUGUUUAGUUGAAACUUAAAUGUGUUUUAAAUGUGAAUUUUUAGUAACUAUGUAUCAAUUGCAACGAUCAACAAUUUUUUGGAGAAAUCUGGUAGCUUUACUCUCCUAUAACCUUGCAUGUUUUUGAAAUAUUUUCUACUAUGAUUGCAAAAUGAUACUACUCUUCAACUGACAAAUCACCUUCAUCCUUUAUCAAAAACAUCUUCCUCUAAGAAGCCUAGUUUCAGUUUGGCAGAAGAGAGAGGCUAUACGUUUUUAAGGGGUGACAAUAUGCUUUUAGCUCAGCCAAGCCUGGUUUAUUAGACCUUCAAUUAAAAUAAUGAGUUCAAUGGCUAUUUAGUUUAUUAGUGUUUGUAGUAGUAGUGAUGGUAGUAGUGGUAGUAGUACUACUAAUUACAUUUAUUGGGCACUGGGUAAGACUAAGUAAAAUUAGCUAGGUCAUCUCAUUUAAUCCUCAUAGCAAUUCUGUGAGGCAGGCAUUAUUAUUAUCCCCAUUCUAAGAUGAGGAAAC